This is a long non-coding RNA of Polypterus senegalus (gray bichir), 8868 nucleotides long. RefSeq lists it as uncharacterized. Lineage: Eukaryota; Metazoa; Chordata; Cladistia; Polypteriformes; Polypteridae. The record is from RefSeq and is a predicted model, not a curated record. The transcript has 5 exons.
UGUCUGUGAGCCGGUGCCUUGCUGCUUCUCCUUCUGAUCCAUCGCCGUCUCUGCAUGGGCUGACUCCAAAUAUUUCUUUCUGUGUGGAGAGUAAGCAUUGUGUUAAAGAUUUUGCUUUAUCUGCUUAUCAAAAUGGACGGUGAAAGAGCAGCAGGUGUGCAGUUUAUUUUGAAUGUCUAGUCUGUACAGCACUAGGAUUUCAGGGGUGUCUAAUAAAGACCCUUGUCCUGCCAUACUGGGGAGGUACACCUUUGUUUUUUGCUAUUUUAUACAGUGAAGUCCUCCUGACUGUCCAGAUUCUAUAAGCUUUUUUUUUUUUUUUGUCUUCAUAUUUCUAAAUUUUUUUUUCUUUGUCAUUGUAAGUUUUUUACUUUUCGUGGGGACUUUGAGGAACACUUUUUAUAAAAAUGUGUUCAAGUGGCACUGUGACCUGUGUUUGCACAACUUCAGUCAUUGUGAACAUUCGGCCCAACUAUGGGUCAGGCCUAUAAAGCGGGAUGUUUGCUGGUAGGAUGGUGGUGUCUCGGCUAUUUCUGGUGAAUUUCCUCUUGACCGCUACGUGUGUCACUUGGCUGUGAACUGCUAGAGUGUGCAUCUGGUGUGACAUUUACGGUCUUGGAACUCUCCUGCUUAGAGUGACUCUGGUCAACUGCCCCCUUCCUUCAUCGUAAAACCCAAGUGGUGGUGACUGGUACUGAGUAAUGAACGGGUGCAGCAGUGGUGAGGUGUAAGCUGUGGAUUUUCCUACUAAUCAUGUGAACUUGUUUCUUGAAUUCACAAUCGCAUGAAGUGGACAAAAUUGGGUUCCUGCAGUUCUUGCUUGGCAAUAGAAGACCUGAGUUGAACCACUGCUUCUGUAGGCUAAGGUGAGCUGGAUGGGCAUGAGGUAGGAUGUAGACCUCUCCCUGGACACUUCCUGCCAACCACCCAAAUAGGUGUAUGUUGCACCCCUUCCUGGGAUGAGCUUAUUAUUCGUACCCAGGCCAGUGGUUCAUGAUUUGCCAGAUGGAACUUGAGACUCUUGGGUUCUGGGAGGACACUUUGAAAUGGCAACAUUCUACCCUUUGUCAACAAAAGAUGAGAGUUUAUAAAAAUGUGUAAGCUAUGACUUCUGGGAAGCAAAUGGAGGACCACAAAGGUGCAGGCACAAAUGAACUACACACAGACACAUACAGUCACACACUGAAGUAUGAAUUCAAGUGUCUUCCAUGUAAUGUUAUUUCACAGUGAUUGAGGUGAAGAGAUGAAUGAAAAAUGUACAUUAGAGCUUAGUGUGUGUUGUCUAAAAUUUUAAAAAUAGCAGAAAAUUUUGUAAACUGUCAUGUGAUCUUCAACUUGCAAAUUGUAAAGCGACAGGAUUAGCUACGGCUAGGGGUUUCAUUUCCAGGGUUUUGCACUUUGUGCGUCCACUGCAUCUGUCUGUGAUGAGUUGUCUGUCUUCUGUCCAAUCUGCAUGAUGUGCUAAUUGUCCUUUCUUCAUUUUAACCCUUCCCAAAGUUGUGCAUAUUGGACCAGUUUCCACUUUUAAACUGGUUAAAGACAAACGAGUGUGAAUUUGGACUGUCUAGUGCUGGCUUCAGACUUUACUACAAAGGCAGUGGGACCCUAAAAACCACAAGCCACUGGGGGAGUCAUAAAAAUACGUCCAAAUAAACUGCAGUAAAAGCUUAAAAUAUGAGAUGAGCUGCCCUGGAAUUCUUGCAUUGAAAGCAGUCCUUCAGUUGGGUCCCACUGGUGAGCUAGCAGCUUUGUGAGGUGGGUAGCAAAUGCAAAAGUUUUCCUCUGGCCUUGGAUUUGGUUCAAGAUCUCACACCGCAGAGGACAGAGGAACAGCACAAAAAGCAAGCAAGUCAUUGAGAUGAGGGGAACUGUUUGAUUCAUCUGCUGCUCCUAGUCAACACUGUUUCUGUUGUAUGGCUGCUACGUCUGACCAAUCUGUCCAUCAGUAGGUCGUUUUUAAAACUGUAGGCAUGUUUUAAUUCAUAACAUUUGCAGUUUGGCUAAAACAUACCUCAGCAGGAUUGUACAAUUAUUAUAAAUCUAAAGAUAAAAUGAUUAAGAGAACAAAAGUAUGAGCUGUAUCAGGUACAGUUGCUGCAAUCCUGUUAAUCGUGUAGUGAGAGAUCCACUGUGACUCCAUAAUACCACUACUGCCUUCUUUUAGUCAUGAGUAUUUUUUGGAAACAGAAAAGAAGCUCAUCUGUCUGAUGUAUCGUGUUUAUGCAACUACUGUGAUUUGUCAAUGUAAGCUAAGACCGAGUACUGGUACUGUUAGGCUGUAAGCAAAUUAGCAGUCAAAAUGAGGUACACUUGCAAUACACUUGAAACUGUGCUGAGAAGUCAUUGAGCAAGUUCUGUGAUCUGCCAUUCCCUUUGAUUCCUAUUUUUGUAAUCGGAUAUCCUCAAGGCAAGGAGAUCCAGCAACUACAGUGUUUCAGAUGGCCAUGCUGUCCCACUUGAAGGUGUAACAAAUAUGAAACCAUCGGAUGAUUGAGCCAAGGAUACAAAGCGAAGAAUGUGGAUUCUGUCCUAGCCAUGAAACAGACCAUUGGAAGUUGUGUGAGAAUAUGAUAACCCAGUCUACUUGUGCUUUGUAGAUUUAGAAGAAACUUUAAGUAUAUAAGCAUGUCCCUUGGCAUGUGGUGUGGGAGAUGCUGCUGGAAUAUGGGGGUUAGUGUCACUAUUGUAUGUAAUUUGUUCACUGUGGGUGGUGGAAGGGUUAACGAGAUGGCCUUGAUGGAUCCCAUUUUAUAGAUGUGUGGUGGGGUUUUUUUUUGUUUUUUUUAAUUUAAACUUUCAUGGACAUAUGAAGGUGCAGCUGGGGGUGGAAGAUUGUCUAGUUGGGAAAGGAAUGUCGUCUUGUCUCAUCAGUGACAUUUGAAAUGCACUCAAAUGAUCUGCUACAGGGAUGAGGAUCAUCCGCUCCUACUCUGUUGUCCUGAUUCUCUUUCAGAAAAGAGUGGAUUGCUCACUCCUGGGUUUGGAGAAUGACAUCUGCCCUUAAGGGAUUUUAAGUAUCUCUCAAUUUUCUUCAUUGGUGAUGGAAGAAGGAAAUUUUAAGAUCAACAAGCAGAUUAGAGUGUUGGCAGCUGUUCUGCAGGUGCUGUUUCAUAUGAGGUAAGGUUGACCAUCUCAUUGGGGAACCUGAAGAUAAAUUGUUCUAGACCAGAAGAGAGAUGGUACUGGCAAAUCUACCUAUGAGCAGCGCCCCAGAAGUGUGUGUUUGUUUUGUUUUUUUCUUUUUUCCAGUUUUUGUUAGAGAGAAUGGCAGUGCCUCAUCAUGCCUAUAUUGUGGCAUAUUUGUGGUGUGUUUUUUUUUCCUUUUUAAACUAGGAAGUGUGCCUGUGCAACCCUGCAGAUGAUUAUAGAGAACUGCCUCCAUUUCUUCUAAAAGGUAUUUUUGUAGCAGAUGGAAUUAAAUUGGGUUGCUUUGUGGUUAUUUCUUUUCUUCCCAAAGGGUCUCCUGUCUCCCAUUUAUAGUUGCUGUUGAUUUAGGUGGGAACAAAUACUCUUGGUGGGGGGGGAUUUGACAUUAUCUUGUGAAAAUAAAGUGAGGUAGACUUUAAAUUGGUAACCAACUAAUACUCAUUAAUGUACCUCCUAUAACUUAAAGGUCUUUUACACGGUAAAGUGACUGAACUACAGCUCUUCAGAUAGUGGACAGGGCAGUGUCCAGGUCUCGGUCAUGACCACACAAUUCACUGCAUAAUUGCAGAUUGUAGAGUAUGAAAGAGAGAAUACUGAGAAAUGCCUAGAGAUGAAAGACUGAUGCCAGUGUAAACUCUAAGAAGAACACCAGCUAUAUAAGACAACUGCAAAAUCUCCUCCUGGGUCUUUACUUUACUAGUCAACAUCCUUCCAUGGAGAUGUGAAUAAACUUUCAAGACAGACUUGGACAAAAAUGAGGCCGCCUAUCUUCUGGCUAAAGCUCCCCCAACAGUGUGACAUCUCUACCCAUAUGUGUUCAAAAACAGAUGCCCUUUAAAGAUCCCAAGAUGUUUGUUGACAUCCCUCAUGGACCAGAACAAUUAAACUGUCUUCUGAUCACCAUCACAUCCGUAACUAUUGUCUUCCAGCUGAGACAUUUGUAAUGCGGCUCCUUUUUCAUCUCUGAACCCAUAGGUGGUUUGUAUAGUGUCUUCGUAUUUGACUUCAUGCAAUUGUGACUUUGUAUAUUGUGAAGUGACUCUCUGGUUCAUGGUGCCAGUUGUUUAUUACGGACUUCUAGGAACUAUACAAGACAAUACUUGUGGCAGAUCAUGCAUUGCAGGUGAGCUUUUUAUUUGAUUCAGUUUGCCUUGUGUAAAAGGCAAAAUUUGUUUUCAUCAGACUGUUCCCUGUGAAACUAAUUACAUAUUGAAGAUGAACUUUUUGCUUAACUCUAUUACUACCACAUCUGAUAAUGAACCAUACCUGUUGCAUUUUGGACCCUGGUUAUGCUUUUGAGACUACAAUUUGUUUUUGCUCUACCAAAGUAACCUGAAAACAGAGCUACAACAAGCCUCCCCAUGCCUUUUUAUAUGGACUUAUUCAAAUAUUUUUCAAAUUCUCUGUAAAAUUGUGCUUUUGAUUAAGGAAGGCUUUGGUUAUAAUACUUGAAGACCAGCUUAUUAUUUUAAAUGGUAUAUGAAGCAUAAAGGCACAGGAUCACAGAAUACUGACAUAACCAUUAAGGAAUCCCACUGAGAAACUAGCAACUGUACAUUAUGCAGUGGUGGAUUUUUAGUUCUUCCUUCCUUUACCCCUAUUGGAUCAAGACUGAUGAUAUCCACCUGUCACAGCUUUCUCUAAAUUAAGUUGUUUUUUGUUUAAAAUAUUGUAUUUGACUGUACUGGACAUUAAUGCAGACGACGGCUCUUAAUUUACUGCAAAUUAUCAUUUUAACUUGUUUGUUACUUUGUAUAUCAAUUAAGGUGAAGUAUCCUUUAUAGUGCUGUACCUUUUUUGAAUGGUCAUUUAAUAUGUCAACUUUCUCAAACUUGUAAAAUGACCACAGCUCUUGUACUACUUUGUGUAUGUAAUGGUGUAUUAUGAAUUUGAGUUGUAAUAAGCAAGGGACCUUGCAAUAAUUUAGAUGCUGUUAUGAAUAUGUAAUUUUUUUUUUUUUUUCUGUUCUUGUUCAAACAAAAUUGUACUAAUGCUGGAUAUAUGCUAGAAAUGGUGGUACUGUAAGUUUCAGUAAGAAUAUGCAUUGUGAAAGUGUCAGUGAUCCAAUAGGACCCCAUAAUCUCAGACUGCAAUGCAGGCUGAAUGUGAGGUUGUAAUUUUGCUGUGGGUGGUGGUGUGUGGUUGUGGUUUUUUUUUUUUUUUGGUUUCCAACCCCCAUCGUAGUUUAAUAGACUGUAGCCUUGAACUGCUCCAACUUGUGGCAUUUUGGGGAUGUCCAGUUUCUCUUUAGAGAAUAUUUUGAGUAACUGGGACUGAAAGACGGUAUCCUAGAUUCCAAACUUUGAAUCCAUAUUGACAUAAGUCAAUACAAAUGUUGCAUUUUGUUUUUCUUUUUAAAUGCAGCUUUGACCUUGGUAUAAACUCUCAAGCAAGAAAUGAGUUGCCAUCACCAGACUUGCUGUCUUAGCCUCCUAUCACCAAUGGGGGUAUGUGAUUGAUUUCAGAUGUCGGUUAAACAGGAGCACCUUAUCACCAUGCUUCCCAGGUUCUUGGAUCACCUUUAUAAUGUACCAGGCAAGGCAACUUCCAACUCAUCAGCAAUUCUUUAACAACUCCCUAAUCCAGUGACCCCAGAAAAUGAAGAAAAAUCCUUUUGGCUGAUUACCUGUGGCUGUUCUACAAUCUUGACCAUAACUGAAGACAAUUGAAUCGUGGAAGGACAGGACAAGGAUGUUAACCUUUUUAGAUUUGGAGGAAUAAACCGUCCAUCUGCAUCACACUGUGCUGUGAACUGUUGUGACCGAUACUUUGAAUCACAGGCAGAUGAGAACAACAUCCCCAAAGAACAGACUCCUUCUCUGGUUGCUGAAAUGGCAUCGACCAUUGGCUAGAAAAUGUACCUGCAGGUUUGCACCUUUUGAGUAUCGUCCCUGUGAAGGGAAAAGUGCUCUUGAUUAUCUGAAAAGACAAAGCUGUUCUGCAUUUGAUGUUUAAGUACUUGCAUUGAGCUUGGCCAGGUCUCAUUAGGAGUUCUCCACCUCAUUGUUUUAUGUCUGACUUUUGAUAAUGGAAGCCACCCCCUCAGAAUGGUAUUGUGCAUUUCCUUAACCCUGUUUUUCAUAUUUGAUAACCCCUGAAUCACCUUGAGUAUCUAGUUCUUCGAGAAUCUCUAGCCAGGUCUCAGCCACGCUAUAGCUAGCAAACAGCCAAUUUAAAAAUUUCUUAGUGUUUGUAUCUCCCGCUUUUACAGUAUAGGUGUUUGACUUUACAAUACAAAUUUUGUUUGCCACAACCCCAUUGUAGCUGCCCAAAAAUCUCUAUCUUUAGCCUGCAACUAGCCAUACUGGCCUAUCUAUCAACUACCAAUGUAGCUACCACCACUUAACCUUGCUUGUAAACUCCUCCUUUGAUUUUCUAACUCUAAAGACAAGGUUUAAAGAGUAUUUACACAUCUAAAAACUAUUUAAUGGUUUGAUCUUUCAUCUAGGAGUUACAGUAAUGCAACUUUUCCUUGCACCAGAUUUGGAGUCUGUUCCAGACUGACAGGUGAAAGAGUAAACCUGCAUUUAACCAGUAAAGGAAAAAUGACACCCCAGCUGCUAAUGUUCCUAAAGCUGGUUUGAUGUAUUCAGAUCAGUUUCACAAACUGCUUAAAAUCUGGCACAUGAAGUGCUCCCAAUUUCCACAUCAUCACUCUUUUGUGCAAGGUCAAAUGGUAUCCCCAUACAGCAUUUUUAAAGCAAGUCACCGAAUCAGACACUAAGGAUCUACAAACCAAAUUAAAUUUUUGUAUUUGUAGUCUGGUAUCUGUUAGAGUAAUUUUUACAAUGGAUAACCCUCUUUAAAACACAACCUAGACCACAUCACUCAAAGCAUCACUUAACUGGACAAGUAAAACAACCCCAUUGUAUAGGAGCACUAUAAAUUGUGUGUUUUUUUUUUUUGAUGCAAAACUUGUGAAUGUUUGUUUUUAUACCUAAUUAUUAGAUUUCUUAUUAUGAAACCUUGCUUUGGAGAAACUUUUUCACUUUAAACGUUUAACCACUCCUGUAUUUAUUUUGAAUAGAGGAUUACGCUAGUCAUGGGACUAAUUAUUGUAAGCUUACUGUACUUUGACAGCCAAUACUUAAGUUAUUUUUUUGUGUUGGUCAUGAAAUCACAAACCUGAGAUCAGUCUUGAGAGAUUCUCUUACUCGGGCCAUGCACAACACGUGCUUUAUCAGUUACCAUAAUACCACCAAUUAGAUUGGUGUAGUAUUCAAGCCUUAUCUGAAAUGGGGAAACCGACACUUACCACUGGUAUUGGUUGAUAAGUAAUGUACAAGCUGCAUCUUCUAUCUGGACUCAAUCGAAAGGAGCUAUAUACGGGCAAAUGUUAGAAAAAGACUGGGCUGUUUUGAGCUUAAACCUUCAACAUGGAGGCUCUUGUGAUUUUAACUAAUUACCACUUUGAAGAAUGGAGUGAAAGCGCUGCAGUUUCUGCUUGUCUCUGAACAGAUUAAGUCUUUAUACUGGAAACCGUCCGUGGAAGUGUCCAAGAACUGCUUCUCCAUAGAAUUAAAUGGUGUAUAUACUCUCAAUGGACCCUGGCUUGCCACUUGACUAGAAGAAGCUGCUGUGAUGAUGAUGAUGGUUAUACAAUCCAAUGUAAAUGAAUACCUCUGCCUUUGAUGGGAAAAGUUUAGAAUGGCCAACAGCAUCGGAGCAGAAUCCACUGUAGAGCAGCUUUGAACAGAAUGAUGCAAAUGCUGAUGUAUUCACUUCAGCAAUCUUAGGAAUUUCUAAAUCCCAAAAACCCUGAUUUCAGAUGGUUCCAAAAACUAAGAUUUAUUUAUUUUUUUUAAUGCUCUAAACUGGAAAAGAAGCAGCGGUUAUCAGACAGGACCCGAAAGGGCAGAAUGAGAUCAUAUGCUUGGUCAUUUUUAUAGGGUGUAUAUAUAUUUUUUUAAAUACAUUCUGAAGUUUAAGGAGCAGGAGUUGAAUUUACACUCUUGAAUUUAAUCAGACUCUGGUCAAACUAUAAUGGAAAGUGUGUCUUGACAAGAUACUGAUUCACAGCCAAGGCUCAGAAAAUAUUCCAUUUUGGAAGCUCUCGUGUGGGGGGAAAAAUCCUGUUUUGUAAUGUGGUAGUGGUGGUUGGGAUUUUUUUUUAUACAGUUUUACAAUAGCUGUGUAACUUGCAACAAAUCUGCCAUGAUUCUUUAUUUUAGGAUAAAUGUAAGUAGCACUGCACUACUUGGUCUCAACUGCUAUCAUUUAAAUCAAAUUAAAUGCAGCAUAGAACUAAUUUUAAAAAGUUCAGAACCAGUUAGUGCUUGUGUAUGUCCUUAUUUAUUCAAAUAUUUAUAAAGUUUGGAGGUGGGGAGAAAUGCUACUCACUGUGCUAUGGUUGAUACUAUAUAGUUAAAGUGGUUUGUGGUGUUUUUUUUUUUUUUUUUCCCCUCCCCCCUUGUGCUCUAGAGAUUCUGGACAAUAACCCCUGUAAAAACAAGUAAUAUUUUUACAGUCUGAAAAAAUUGCUUCUGUGUGUGCAAAUAUUGUUUAAUGUUGAAGUAAUGUGAGUUUUGACCAACAGUCCCAUGUGAUGUACCUGCGCUGUGCGAAAUAUGAAAACUUGCAUGCAAUUAUUUAGUUUAAGCAAUAUGUAGUCAGUCUGCUAUGUUGACUCUUGGAGGUACUGGAGUUGUUCCUAAUGUGGUACCAGGUCAGGGGAAGGUGCAAACCCUCCUCUGGUCCUGGCCAAGUCGCCACUCCAGCCAU